Molecule: non-coding RNA, 257 nt
Organism: Podarcis lilfordi (Lilford's wall lizard)
Lineage: Eukaryota; Metazoa; Chordata; Lepidosauria; Squamata; Lacertidae
Source: the annotation of a GenBank genome assembly
GCAGGGGAGGGUGAUCUGGCUGUGACAUUUGUCACUGCAUUGAUUUCCAGGGUUCAUUCAGCUAAUCUGGCUGGUGGGUGUCCCUCCCUCACCCCUCCAUGUGCAUUCCUCCUGAAGCUGCGCACUCAGUCAAAGAGGAUGACCAUCCCAGAUAGAAGGAGUGUACCAUUCUUCCAUAAAUGUGAGGAUUUUUUGCUAGCUUCCUAAAAUCUUAACAAUUAUUUGUAGGCAACAUUCACUGAAUUUCUGUUUUGUAA